AGCGGCGAACGGGUGAGUAACACGUUGGAAUCUGCCCCCAAGUCAGGGAUAGCCCAGGGAAACCUGGAUUAAUACCGGAUAGUCUCUACGGAGUAAAAAUUUAUUGCUUGGGGAGGAUCCUGCGAUCUAUCAGUUAGUUGGUGAGGUAAAAGCUUACCAAGACGAUGACGGAUAGCUGGUCUGAGAGGAUGAUCAGCCACAAUGGGACUGAGACACGGCCCAUACUCCUACGGGAGGCAGCAGUGAGGAAUCUUCCACAAUGGACGCAAGUCUGAUGGAGCGACACCGCGUGAAGGAUGACGGUCUAACGAUUGUAAACUUCUUUUCUGGAGGAGCAAAAUGAGAGUACUUCAGGAAUAAGGGACGGCUAAUCACGUGCCAGCAGCCGCGGUAAUACGUGAGUCCCGAGCGUUACUCGGAAUUACUGGGUGUAAAGGGUUCGUAGGCGGGGAUAUAAGUCAGAUAUGAAAGACCGGAGCUCAACUUCGAGUUUGUAUUUGAAACUAUAUUUCUAGAAUCAGGGAGAGGUAAGCGGAAUUCUUAGUGUAGGGGUGCAAUCCGUAGAUACUAAGAGGAACACCAAAAGCGAAGGCAGCUUACUGGAACUGUAUUGACGCUGAGGGACGAAAGCGUGGGGAGCGAAAGGGAUUAGAUACCCCUGUAGUCCACGCCCUAAACGAUGAUAACUAAGUGUUGCACGUAGGUGCAGUGCUGUAGCAAACGCGUUAAGUUAUCCACCUGAGGAGUACGGUCGCAAGAUUAAAACUCAAAGGAAUAGACGAGGGACCCACACAAGCAGUGGAUCACGUGGUUUAAUUCGACAAUAAGCGGGAAAUCUCACCCAGACUUGACAUCUUAAGAAUCUUUUAGAGAUAAAAGAGUGCCUUUAUUGGAGCUUAGAGACAGGUGCUGCAUGGUCGUCGUCGGCUCGUGCCUUGAGGUGUUCGGUUAAGUCCGUUAACGAGCGCAACCCAUGUCCUUAGUUAUGAUGUCUAAGGAGACUGCCUUGGUUAACAAGGAGGAAGGUGUGGAUGACGUCAGAUCAGCAUGGCUUUUACGUCUGGGGCUACACACAUGAUACAAUGGUAUGUACAAAGAGUAGCAAUAUGGUAACAUUGAGCGAAUCUAUAAAACAUAUCUCAGUCCGGAUUGAGGUCUGAAACUCGACCUCAUGAAGUUGGAAUUGCUAGUAAUCGUAAAUCAGCAUGUUACGGUGAAUGUGUUCCUGGGUCUUGUACUCACCGCCCGUCACGGCAUGGAAGGUAGUAAUAUCGGAAGCUCCUCAGAUAAUAUGGGGGUCCAUGGUAGGACUACUGACUGGGCUGAAGUCGUAACAAGGUAGCC
Molecule: ribosomal RNA, 1344 nt
Filed under: uncultured bacterium
Lineage: Bacteria
Description: bacterial SSU rRNA
Rfam family: Bacterial small subunit ribosomal RNA
Source: RNAcentral